GACGAACCGUGCGAACGUUGUUCGGAUUCACUGGGCUUAAAGGGCGCGUAGGCGGGCGGUCAAGUCAGGGGUGAAAUCUUUCGGCUCAACCGGAAAAGUGCCUCUGAUACUGGCCGCCUCGAGGGAGGUAGGGGCAUGUGGAACUUCCGGUGGAGCGGUGAAAUGCGUAGAUAUCGGAAGGAACGCCGGUGGCGAAAGCGACGUGCUGGACCUCUUCUGACGCUGAGGCGCGAAAGCCAGGGGAGCAAACGG
Molecule: ribosomal RNA, 252 nt
Filed under: uncultured bacterium
Lineage: Bacteria
Description: partial 16S ribosomal RNA
Rfam family: Bacterial small subunit ribosomal RNA
Source: RNAcentral